AACGCAUAUUGUGCUCUUUGGUAUUCCGAAGAGCAUGCUUGUUUGAGUAUCAGUAAACACCUCAACCUCUCUUUUUUGAUAAAAAAAAGGGAGGGUGGACUUGAGCUAUCCCAACGACCUUCACUGGUAGGCGGGCAGCUUGAAAUGCAGGUGCAGCUGGACUUUUAUCUGAGCUAAAAGCAUAUCUAUUUAGUCCUCAUCAAACAGGAUUAUUACUUUUGCUGCAGCUAACAUAAAGGAUAAUUGUCCUCUUUGCUGACUGAUGCAGGAUUUUAUGACACUUUAUGUGUUGUUCAACUCGAUCUCAAAUCAAGUAAGACUACCCGCUGAACUUAA
This 336-nucleotide unclassified non-coding RNA is filed under the name uncultured Mortierellaceae. RNAcentral describes it as "sequence contains ITS2". Lineage: Eukaryota; Fungi; Mortierellomycota; Mortierellomycetes; Mortierellales; Mortierellaceae. The record is from RNAcentral.